Molecule: long non-coding RNA, 1350 nt
Organism: Bos taurus (domestic cattle)
Lineage: Eukaryota; Metazoa; Chordata; Mammalia; Artiodactyla; Bovidae
Source: Ensembl
GCCGAAGCGGGCGGGCGGCGCCGAGGCCCGGGCUGGACCAGCGGCGCCCCGCGACCCCGCCGCCCGGACCGUCGUCCGCCCCGCUUCCCGCCGGCCGCCGCGCGCCCGCUCCUGUGCAAACGCGCUUCUCUCAGACAGUCCCCAGUGUGCUCGAAGGCUCCGCGGCCCCAGGAGGGCCGGCUGCCUUCCGCCGCGUCCUCCCAGGCCCGGCCGCCGGAGCCCCAGGACCGAAAUCCAUCCCGACGGCCUCGAUGCGGGGCCACCGGGGAGGGGACACGACCCUCGGGGCGCAGCUCGCAGCCCCACCCUCCGUGUCGGUCACCGGUGCGCAGGGGCAGCCUGCAGUGAAGGACGGGAAGAGGGCAGUUCCUACUGUCCCUGCAGUUUUUAAAAUGUGCAGAUACUCUUCACUAAAAAAGAAGCACAAAUCACAUUCCUAUUUUCGGAAAAGAGACACGGGCGAAAGUUUUAAAUAAUACACGAUUUCCGAGGCCAGCACAUUGACUCUGUAUCUGGCCAUAUUUCAUCUAGCAGGCUUGACUGUGCUAACUCCGGAAAUGAAAUUAUAGCACUCAGAGGGCCAUCCCAAUGAAUCUUUGAGAAAGGAAAAAAAAAAAAAAGGAAAUCCCUGUAAAAACAGAUAUCGUCAGAAUUGUCACAAUAUAUGUUAUAGUACUUUGCUGGGACCUUGAGAACUUUUCAUCCUAGAAGAAGGAGCAUCUGAAGAAAUGGUUUUAACCCCAGGACAUAGAAAGAGCAGAUCAAGCAGCCCUGUUACAGGCCCACAUAACUGAAGAGAGGAUAUUGAAAGUGUGAAACUUGAUGUCUUUCCCCCUAAAUUCUCCAUAAUUUUUUAAAAUUCAACACCCAUGUGACCUUGGACUCUCUCAUUCUCAUCUGUCUCUUGCAGUACACUCUUUGCUAGCCAUUCAGCACACUGCACACCCUGAUAAAAGUAGUUAAUGUUUACUGAAACCUGGGCAUGAACUGUACUAAACCUGAUAGCAGUGAAAAGGCAAAGUUCUGCUAACAGCAUCCAUGCACAAUAAAAAUUAAAAAAGAGGGGGUGCAACUCCAGGAAGGGAAACAUUUUUCUCUUUCUAAUUUGAACUUAAAAUCUGUCACUGAUGAAUAUGUCAGUUAUUCAUCACCAAAAGAUGCUUUUCAUCUUUUUCAUCAUCUCUCUGGAAUAUUUUCAACACAAGUACACUUCAACCGUUUCAUAGUUUUCCAAAUUUUUCUUUAUAGAUUUUAUGACUGAAACCAAUCUCUUUGUAUCUCUUGUUCUGACUUUUUUUGGAAGGUCCGGCGACCUGAUUUAAUGAUACUACUCUCAAAGAUUUAUUCAUU